UAGGUCUCUGCACCUUGAAAUAAAACACGAACACGAACACGAACACGGAGAGGAGCUUCUCUGAAACAAAGCCCCCAGAGACAGAGAGAGAAAAAGAAGCGUUAAUCUUUGCUUCCUAUUACUCUCUCUGAUUCGAUCCUCUCUUCUGUUUCUUCUCGUUAAUCUCUCUCUUUUUUUGUUGUAUAUUUCUGUAUUCUACACACACAUAUGACGAGAAUUCAUCGGAAUCGUGAUCGCACCGGUAAUUCUAACGGCAGCAAUGUCUUUAAUUUGCUUGCACGGAGAGAGAUUUCACCAAGAACAAAACAUGUAGCAAGAGAUGCAAAGCGUGGCCUAUUGUCAUGGGUUGAGGCCGAUUCACUGCGGCAUUUAUCAGCCAAGUAUUGUCCUUUACUACCUGCGCCAAGGUCUACUAUUGCAGCGGCGUUUAGUCCAGAUGGAAAAGUUCUUGCAUCCACACAUGGUGACCACACAGUGAAGAUAAUCGACUGUGAAACUGGACGUUGCUUAAAGGUGUUAAUUGGCCAUAUGAGGACGCCUUGGGUGGUUAGGUUCCAUCCAUUGCAUCCAAAAAUACUUGCUAGUGGGAGCUUGGAUCAAGAAGUUCGAUUAUGGGAUGCUAACACAUCGGAGUGCAUAACAUCUCACCACUUCUAUCGACCAAUUGCAUCCAUUGCUUUUCAUGCCAAAGGGGAAAUAAUUGCCGUUGCAUCAGGCCACAAGCUGUACAUAUGGCACUACGACAAGAAAGGCGAAGCAUCCUACUCCCCAAUUUUUGUGUUAAAGACAAGGCGAUCUCUACGGGCUGUUCAUUUUCACCCUCAUGCUGCGCCAUAUCUUUUAACGGCCGAGGUCAAUGAUCUUGACUCUUCAGAUUCCUCAAUGACAGAGGCAACAUCCAUUGGUUACUUACAAUAUCCUCCACCUGCUGUUUUUGUCACAAAUGUUCAUCCUACAGAACAUGUUACUUUGUCCAGUGAACCAACUAAUGUGUCAUUGCCUUUCUUCCUCGUGCCUCCGUAUACUGUUGAUGAGUCGAGAGCAGAGUUACAGCAUGCUAGUCAUGACGCUGGUUCAGGUAGAAUACAAAUUGAGUCUUCUGCCGUGGCUCAGUUUCAAGCGGACACAAAUUCAACAGAACAACAUGAUACUACAGUGUCUCCCAUGGAUACAGUCUCGGAGAUUCCCACUAACUCUCAAGCUGGUACAGAAUAUCCUGCGCAUACUGCUUUCUCUAAUGGAAUGGGAAUUGGCAUCGGCAACCUCACAAUGGACGGUAUGGAGACUGAUGAAACAAGACCGGCUGAAGGAAGUCAACACAGAAACCCUACCGAUGCAAGUUCUCUUAAUGGUAUGUUACAUGGAUUAUCUAGACAAACCGCAAAUCAUGGGGUUCAUCCAGAGGAUGGUCAUCCGUUUGUUUCUUCAAGAGACCCAAGUGGAUGGGAAUUACCUUUUCUACAAGGAUGGAUGAUGGGUCAAAGCCAAGCUGGUCUCCCCUCAAUGCUACCUCACACGGGUGUUAGUCGUGACACUCUAGCUCCACAGAUUAGUUCUAGUGUAAUGGCUAAUACUCUUCCCACUUCUAAUGCUGAUGUAGCAAUGCCAUCUUCAGCAAUGUCUGGCAGCAUUAACAUACCCGGAUCUUCUGUAAGAUCAGGUUUGCGGAGUCAUUUUUCACACUCACGGACACCUGUAUCUGAAUCUGGAAAUCUUGCUGCUUCUAUUAAUACCCCACAUGAUGGAUCUGACAUCCAAACCAUCAUGAGUCGAAUCCAGUCAGAACUCGCAACGUCUGUGGCUGCAGCGGCAGCUACCGAGCUGCCUUGUACCGUGAAGUUAAGGGUGUGGUCUCAUGACAUAAAAAAUCCCUGUUCCCCACUAAAUGCUGACAGAUGUCGUCUAAUUAUACCUCAUGCCGUCCUCUGCAGUGAAAUGGGUGCUCACUUUUCACCAUGCGGUAGAUUUUUAGCUGCCUGUGUUGCAUGUAUGCUUCCUCAUAUAGAAGCUGAUCCUGGAUUACAAACUCCAGUACAUCAAGAGUCUGGUAUUGCAACAUCACCAACUCGGCAUCCAAUAUCAGCACACCAAGUUAUGUAUGAGCUGCGGAUAUAUUCCCUUGAGGAGGCAACAUUUGGGUUGGUGCUUGCGUCUCGGGCAAUUAGAGCAGCUCAUUGUCUGACUUCAAUUCAGUUCUCACCUACAUCUGAGCACAUACUCCUUGCCUAUGGUCGACGUCAUGGUUCUCUUCUUAAAAGCAUUGUCAUUGAUGGAGAAACAACAUUACCUAUAUAUACAGUAUUAGAGGUAUAUAGAGUUUCAGAUAUGGAACUUGUUAGGGUGCUUCCGAGUGCUGAAGAUGAGGUCAAUGUGGCAUGCUUUCAUCCUUUUCCCGGGGGCGGGCUAGUUUAUGGAACAAAGGAAGGAAAGCUUAGGAUCCUCCACUAUGAUGGUGCUCGCCCGGUGAAUGGGACUGGACCAAGUUACUUUCCUGAGGAGACCAUCGUUGGAGUCAGUCAGUGAGCAAAGGUUCAAAAAUGAUUAGAGAUGGAAUCCAGUGAUCUGCUUCACAUUAUCUUUACUACUCACGUGCUGUUUCCGCUGAUGAUCUGUACAAAGUUAACAUCAUCAUAUCCAGGGCUGAGCACAGGCAACAAAGAACUGGAACUUCACACUCACUGCAUUAGCAAAUGUAUAUUUUUGUAUUAUCAAUGUAUGAGUAUGUAUUAUUAGUUGUAUUAAUGUUCUCCUGUUGUAAAAAUGUGUGUUCCCUUUUACUCCCACCCGCCUCUUUCCUCAUGUCCAUUAGGGGGCGACUUCCUUUCCACGUGUAACAUGUGUAACAUGUUCAGUAGUUACAAGGGGGAAACAAAUUUAUCCUCAUCAGAGAAAUCUCAUAAUUUAGAAACAUGAAUUUACUGUGACAUUUUUACAUGAUCUUAUAACGUAAAUUUUGUAUUUGCAUUUUUGAA
Molecule: RNA transcript, 2972 nt
Organism: Medicago truncatula (barrel medic)
Lineage: Eukaryota; Viridiplantae; Streptophyta; Magnoliopsida; Fabales; Fabaceae
Exons: 15
Source: RefSeq, a predicted model, not a curated record